CCCUUAGAUGUCCGGGGCCGCACGCGCGCUACACUGAAGGAAUCAGCGUGGCUUUCUCCCUGACCCGAAAGGGUUGGGAAACCCGUUGAAUCUCCUUCGUGAUAGGGAUUGGGGCUUGAAAUUGUUCCCCAUGAACGAGGAAUUCCCAGUAAGCGCGAGUCAUAAGCUCGCGUUGAUUACGUCCCUGCCCUUUGCACACACCGCCCGUCGCUACUACCGAUUGAACGGUUUAGUGAGGGCCUCGGAUUGGUCUCGGCCCGCUCUUUACCGGGCGGCGCCGUUGGUCGAGAAGACGCUCGAACUUGAUCGUUUAGAGGAAGUAAAAGUCGUAACA
RNAcentral lists this ribosomal RNA (334 nucleotides) under uncultured eukaryote. RNAcentral's name for it is "partial 18S ribosomal RNA". It matches the Rfam family "Eukaryotic small subunit ribosomal RNA", at positions 1470 to 1796 of the family's 1831-position model. The record is from RNAcentral.